AGAGUUUGAUCCUGGCUCAGAACGAACGCUGGCGGCAGGCUUAACACAUGCAAGUCGAGCGCGUGGCAACACGAGCGGCAGACGGGUGAGUAACGCGUGGGAAUCUACCGGACCCUACGGAAUAACGCAUGGAAACGUGUGCUAAUACCGUAUACGCCCUACGGGGGAAAGAUUUAUCGGGGUUUGAUGAGCCCGCGUUGGAUUAGCUAGUUGGUGGGGUAAAGGCCUACCAAGGCGACGAUCCAUAGCUGGUCUGAGAGGAUGAUCAGCCACAUUGGGACUGAGACACGGCCCAAACUCCUACGGGAGGCAGCAGUGGGGAAUAUUGGACAAUGGGCGCAAGCCUGAUCCAGCCAUGCCGCGUGAGUGAUGAAGGCCCUAGGGUUGUAAAGCUCUUUCACCGGAGAAGAUAAUGACGGUAUCCGGAGAAGAAGCCCCGGCUAACUUCGUGCCAGCAGCCGCGGUAAUACGAAGGGGGCUAGCGUUGUUCGGAAUUACUGGGCGUAAAGCGCACGUAGGCGGACAUUUAAGUCAGGGGUGAAAUCCCGGAGCUCAACUCCGGAACUGCCUUUGAUACUGGGUGUCUUGAGUGUGGAAGAGGUGAGUGGAAUUCCGAGUGUAGAGGUGAAAUUCGUAGAUAUUCGGAGGAACACCAGUGGCGAAGGCGGCUCACUGGUCCAUUACUGACGCUGAGGUGCGAAAGCGUGGGGAGCAAACAGGAUUAGAUACCCCGGUAGUCC
Molecule: ribosomal RNA, 740 nt
Filed under: uncultured bacterium
Lineage: Bacteria
Description: bacterial SSU rRNA
Rfam family: Bacterial small subunit ribosomal RNA
Source: RNAcentral